Molecule: long non-coding RNA, 622 nt
Organism: Cucurbita moschata (crookneck pumpkin)
Lineage: Eukaryota; Viridiplantae; Streptophyta; Magnoliopsida; Cucurbitales; Cucurbitaceae
Exons: 3
Source: RefSeq, a predicted model, not a curated record
GGAAUAUCCAUUUCGAGUAUACGAAUCUAAAUCCCAGCUUCCAGGACCCAAAUUUUUCAUAGGCGAUCUUCCGCCAUGGGAGCACAAUCGCUCAUCAUAGAAGUUUUGAUUCUUGUCAGAGAAAGGGGCAGAGAAAACAAGGGAAAAAAAGUAAAGUUUGUUCGUAACUUACUUCAUGGGUUCUGAAAACAGUGGUAAAAGCGUUUAACUCCAUCCAUCGUAGAAGCAGUUCCUCACUUCUUCGGUACUUGAUGAACGAAAUAGGAACUUCAUGAGCUUUUAGCACAUCCCAGAUUUGGCGGACGGCAUCAGUGCCACCCUGCAUCCCUACCACAGCACCUGAUAUUAUCCAUCCAGGAAGCUCUGGAGGCCUCCCAAUGGUCUCAGUGAAACGUUCAAUAAGCUCUGAUGGCGAGUUCCCAUGCAAUAUCCUUCCUUGAAUGGAAUUUCCAUAAAUCUGCCAUCUCCGGUUCCCAGAAAAUAGGAAAACUGUAAGUUUAAAAUUCUUAUAUGAGCGCCUUACUUGUGCUAGAAUUUAGAUCUUUUCUCUUUACAUUAUAACUUUGUGUUAAAACAAAUCUCUUGCUUUUAUUUAUAGUAUAUUUGUUAUGUUUCUUUUUUA